This is a long non-coding RNA of Danaus plexippus (monarch butterfly), 761 nucleotides long. RefSeq lists it as uncharacterized. The record is from RefSeq and is a predicted model, not a curated record. The transcript is spliced from 2 exons. NCBI's taxonomy places the organism in Eukaryota, Metazoa, Arthropoda, Insecta, Lepidoptera, Nymphalidae.
CACGUUUUGCACACGUGUAAUAAAUAGUACUAAAAAUGACAAUGCCUCUCAGUAUAAUAAAUGAAUUAAGCUCUUAAUCACUAAGUAGUAAUUACGAAACGACAAACUAGUCGUUAGACGAAUAUAAAAAUGACAUGCAAUGAGACAACAGCCGCCCUGUCAGAAACGUCCUUACAAACUACAAACCUAUUGUCUGUUACACAUCUGUCCUGAUGAAAAAUCUACUGUAUUCAAUUUCUUUGGCACUAGCGUCGUCAAGUGUAUUUCCAUUUGAGACGCGUGGGCGGCUCACUCCAUCUAACAGGCGGCCACUGACAAGAAGAUGGCUAUUAGCGGCCUGAUAACUACAGUCCUUUAUUGUUUCCAAUAUAUAGAGACGAAACCUCCUAGCGUUCAAUGCAUUCACCGUGCGGGUGUUGGGUCCAUCGCGUUGCAGGGAGAGGAGCUUCAACAUUGCCUGGGACUUUCAACCCAGGUGAAGGUUUAAGGGGCCCCUAUCUAACGCGCGUUAACGCUCACCUCCGCCGUCCAAGCUCCUCUCUAUACCUAACUAAACUUGAAAGGAACCUACUAGGGCUGUCUUCAAAGUACAUUCCAGGAAUGAAAAAAAAAUAAAGAUAUUUAAUAUAUGUAAAUAAAAAAUAUAUUACACAUAACAGGUUUACUAACUACAGCUCGUUGUGUUCAUGAUUAUAAAUAUGUUUACGCUCUUUAACUUUAAACCGAAAUCUGUUUUGUUUAAUAAAUUUAAAUUCAACCUA